GGCGGUAUCGUCUAGAGGUUAGGACGCUAGAUUCUCAAUCUAGAAACCGGGGUUCGAUUCCCCGUACCGCUACCA
This 75-nucleotide transfer RNA is filed under the name Acidobacteriota bacterium. Its description in RNAcentral is "tRNA-Glu". It matches the Rfam family "tRNA". From Rfam's summary of the family: Transfer RNA (tRNA) molecules are approximately 80 nucleotides in length. Their secondary structure includes four short double-helical elements and three loops (D, anti-codon, and T loops). The record is from RNAcentral. RNAcentral also lists the same sequence under 2 other names. Lineage: Bacteria; Pseudomonadati; Acidobacteriota.